This 5821-nucleotide long non-coding RNA is filed under the name Nicotiana tabacum (common tobacco). RNAcentral describes it as "long non-coding RNA (NTAB_LNC005222)". Lineage: Eukaryota; Viridiplantae; Streptophyta; Magnoliopsida; Solanales; Solanaceae. The record is from RNAcentral.
CCGCCAAUAACAAUCCUUAUUUCAUUUUAGUUUUAAUUAAAUCUCAAAUAUAAAUAUAAAAUUAUAAUUUAUAUUCUAUAUCGUAUUAACUCUCCUAAUAAGUCCCCAAAUAUCAAUACCCACCAAACCUCCAAAACUCCAUCGAUAUUCCCAAAGCCUUGUUGUCUUCUUUGCCAUACCAUAAGAAAAAGUACCCAGAUCUGAAAAUUGGGUUUGAGUUAAUGUUUUAGAUCUGAAAAUUUCCCAGAAAAACUUUAUGGAUGAAAUAUUGGAUGGUUUUAUAGUGCUUGAAAUCCGGUUGCUUUGAUUCCCAAAUCGCACCUCGACUUCUCGACUGCUUGAAGGGAAAGCUAAACCCAAAUUCACCUCGACUGCUCGACUAUUCGACUGCUUGAAGCCAAAAAUUGGGAAAAGACGAAAGUCAAAGUUUGCAACUGAAAUAACAAUACAAAUAGGUACUCCUUGAACAACCACUUUCGUUACUUUCAUGUGUUUCAUAUUUCAUGAGCUUUCUUUACAAAUUCUUGAUUUUACCUUCUAAUGGGGUUUAAUUUUCAUAGUGAUUAGUAGCUCUCUAUAGUUGUAGAUUUGGUUGUAUUUGGGUAAAUAGGGUUGUAUACUGCUACUACAUCUCUCAUGGUUUUUUCCGAUUGUUUUUUCAAUUUCUCAACAGCAGAUUUGUCGAACUGUAGAAUUCUUUGUUUACUGGUAGUGUAAGAAGAAAUCAUUAUUGGUAGCUGAGGAGAAAUUGUUGUUGGUAGCUAAGGAAAAAAUUGUUAUUGGUAAGUAGUUUUUAAUUUAAAUUUUGGAUAAUUGAAUUUGCUGGUAGUGUACUUGUAUACUUCUUAUUUAAGAUUUUUUAUAAUUUUAAUUUUCUCUGUAUUUUCUUCCUUCUCCAUUCUCAAGGCUACUCCUCGGAUUAGGGUUCAGUUUUGGGGUUUUCUUAUAUAAUUGUUGGUUGAGUGCUCUCCAACUUCUAUGUUGUAGGAUGAUUUGAAUUAUUGGGGGUUUGAGGAUCCGAGUUUGUUUGAUUAAGAGGGUUUAUAAUUUUAUGCUUUUAUUUUGGGUUUAAACUAGGAUUUCAUGUAUCUUGAAUCUCAACAAAUUAGCUGCUUUAAGUAACUUUUGAAAAUGCAUAUCAUUGUUAUGACAGCGAUAUUGAUUUCUACAAGGAAAUGGCUUCAGUUUUACAAAUAAAAGUUUCAGGUAUAUGCACAGAACAAGUAGGAACAUAUCAUUACUGGAAACAUUGCUAUAGCAGAAUCAUAGUCGUUAUAAGUAUGAAAAAUGGGUUAAACGACGUAUAAAGUCAAUCAUCUAGAAGUCCUAGCAAUUAAGAAAUUAAGAGAGGUCUGCUGCAUUUCUCCUAUAAUAGAAGUAUGGAAAUAUGGAAAUGUUUAGAAGGAAAGCAAAGUAAAGGACCGAAGUAACGUGAGAUUGGUAACAAAAAGAUACACCAUGGCUCAUACUACCAAACAUGACACCAUCACCAACUGCCAUAUUUGUAGGUAUACCAAGUAAAUCCAUUUACAGUAAUAUGCUUGCUGAUGUAUAUCCAAUAGUAAGAACAUUUUUGAAUCGUUUGAACAUUCAAAAUAACACUAAUAACAACAGACGGUGCUCAGAAUUUAUGCUUUACUAUUUGUAACUCCUUGAGUUCAUCCACUUUAAGCUUUGGUCAAAGUCAAAUUAGUAUGUACCUUGGUUUAUUGAGUUAAUUCUGUUGAUUUACUUUUAUCGUAUAGGAUUUUCAUGGAUAAUAUAGAUAAAAAUUGGAUGUAUCUCUUAAGAUGGACGGAUCCCUGGAGUGAAUGAUUUCCUUGAUAAGGCAUUUGAAUGAGCUUCCCAAGGAAAUGAAAUAUUAUGCCCUUGCAAAAAAUACAUUAAUCGUUAUUGGCAUUAUAGAAAUGUGGUGGAGGAUCACUUGGUUGUUAAUGUUUGUUGAUGGUUACACCGAAUGGGUUUUCCAUGGUGAAGGAUUUUCCUCUAGAAUUACACCUCGUCAAAGCAAUAAUAAUGAAGGUUCUAACAUGUGUGAUGAUAUUGAUGGAUUACUUCAUGAUACAUUCAGAAAUGUAGAAGGUGAGCCGGUAUAAGAAGAAGGGAUGAGAGAGGCUCUAUCUGAAGAUGCUAAGAGAUUUUUCAAAUUAUUAGAGGAAGGAAAACAAUAAUUAUAUCCAGGGUGUGAAAACUUCAAUAAACUGAGUUUCACCAUCCGGUUGUACUUGUUUAAGUCUUUGCAUGAGUUGAGUAAUGUAGCCUUUUCAGACUUGUUAGAGUUGAUAAAAGAGGCAUUUCCCUUUGCUAAGCUGCCAGAGUCUUUCAACAAGGCUAAAAAUAUGAUAAAAGAUUUGGGUCUUCAUUAUGAUAAAUUACGUGCAUGCCCUAAUGAUUGCAUGCUAUUUUGGAAUGACAAUGCAAAGACCGAUAAUUGCUCUAUUUGUGGGUCUUCUAGAUGGAAACGUUCUAAUCGUGCCUUGACUAAUACAAGUUCUAAAGUUCCUGUAAAGGUUUUAAGGUACUUUCCCUUGAAGCCUAGGCUUCAGAGGAUAUUCAUGUGUCCUGAAACAGCUAUUGCAAUGAGAUGGCAUGCUAAUGAACGACCUAAUGAUGAGAAUUUGAGGCAACCCACUGAUGGAGAAGCUUGGAAGGAUUUUGAUUCUCUACAUCCUGACUUCUCCAAAGAUCCACGUAAUGUUAGGUUGGGUCUUUCAAGUGAUGGUUUCAACCCAUUUCGAACCAUGAGCAUUUCUCAUAGCACGUGACCUGUCAUGUUAAUGAACUAUAAUUUAUCACCAUGGAUUUGCAUGAAGCCAGAAUAUAUCAUGUUGUCAAUGAUCAUUCCAGGUCCUUCAUCUCUAGGAGAUGAUAUAGAUGUGUACUUACAACCACUUAUUUCAAAUUGAAGGAACUAUAGGAAACUGGGAUAGAAACAUAUGAUGCUAAGACAAAGCAAACAUUUCAAAUGCAUGCAGCCUUGUUGUGGACAAUUAGUAUGACAAUCCAGUUAGUCGUCUCACGAGUUAUCGCUUCGUUUCUCCCAUUUCUACUUCUAAUUGCUUUGUAUUAUGUUUUUAUAUCUGAUCGGGUUGAUUGGUUAGGGUUCGGAAAGGAUUUGAUAAGGAAUUGAGACAAUUAGUCUCUUUAGAGUGAGUUUAAGUUGGAAAAGUCAACUGGAUGUUGACUUGUGAGUUAGAGGGCUCGGAUUUGAAUUCCAAUGGUUCGGUUAGCUUUGGGAGGUGAUUUGGAACUUAGGAGCGCGAUCGGAAUGAGUUUUGGAGAUGUAGAGAAGAUUUAAGCUUGAAUUGACGAAGUUGAUAUUUUGGCAAUUUUCGGUUGGUAGGUGAAAUUUUGAUAUAGGAGUCGGAAUGGAAUUUCAAGAGUUACAGUAGCCCCGUCGUGUCAUUUGGGAUGUGUGUACAAAAUUUCAGGUCAUUUGGACGUGGUUUGGUUGAGUUUUUGAUCGAAAGCAGAAAUUGGAAGAUUUUGGAAAGUUUGGCUUGAAUCCGAUGUGUUUUGGGUGAUUUGAUGUUGUUUGAGGUAUUUUGAUGAUUGGAACAAGGUUGAAUAAGGUAUUAGGAUGUGUUCGUGCCUUUGGUUGAGGUCCUGGGGGACUCAGGUGAGUUUCGGGUGGUCAUUCGGAUCAUUUUGAAGUUGAAAAGAUUGCAGAAAUUGCAGGUUCAGCUGUUGCAGAACUUUGCCCUUCGCGAUCGCAUAGGGAGUCCUGCGAUCGCAUAGAAGUUUUGAGGAGGUCGUCCAGUGGUUCUUCAUGUUCGCGAAGGUUGGCUUGCGAUCCCAUAGAAUGGAGAGGUUAUUCAUCGCGAACGCGGGAAUGUGGUCGCGUUCGCAUAGAGUUAAAUGGACCUGGGGCUUAACUGGAUUUUUGAUCAUUGUGAACACGGAGGGAUGUCCGCGAUCGAUUAGGGUCAGUCGCCUGGGCAUCGCGUUCAUAGGGCUAUUGAUGCAUUCGCGUAAGAGAAAUUUUGGGAGCUGAAGAUUUGUUCUUCGCGAUCGCGAGGGAUGUUCCGCGAUCGCGAUGAAGGAAAAUAUGUCUGGGCAGAAGGUUUUUAAACUCGUCUUGUCCGCGAGGAUUGGGUUUAUUUCUUCCAUAGUGGAUCAUUUUUGAAGAUUUAUGAUGGAGAUUGAAGAGGGAUUCAAGGGGAAUCACUUGAAGGUAAGAAUCUCGGACUUAAAACUCGAUUAUUAUGUGAAAUCCACCUAGAAAAUGAUGGAAUUUAAGCUAAAAAUUGAAGAACUAGGGCUUGGAAAUUUGGACUUUUGAUUGGGGAUUUGGAGGACCAUUUGGGGUCGUAUAUGAGAACUUUUGAUAUGUAUGAACUCGUGGGGAGAUAAGGAACCCGAUGAUGUGAAAUUUCUGAAUUUCGAAACGUUGGCCCAGGGGUCGGGUUUUGGUAAUUUCGGGAUUUGUGCCCUUUAUGAUUAUUUUUGCUUGGGCUUCAUUCCCUUAGCAUAUUUUGACGUCCUAGUUCUGAUUUUGGAUAGAUUCGACGUGCGUGGAGGCUAAUUCGAGGGGUAAAGGCGUCACAAGCUAGAGAUUUAGCCGGUUUGAGAUGAGUAAUGAUUGUAAAUGAUGCUCUGAGGGUUUGAAACCCCGGAUUGCACAUCGUAGUGCUAUAUUGGAGUGAGACACACGCUCGAUGACGAGCGCGGGAUCGUGCACUAUUGGGGAUUGUGAUUUAGUCCAUCCCGAUUGAUGAUUUUACCGCGUAUUUGACUGAAAUCUAUUAGAUAUCAUCAUGAUUUGGGCUGAAUGCCAUAUUUGGGCCUUGUGCCAUCUAUUUGAGCCCUUCGGGGAUUUAUAUUAAUAUUUCCUCACCUUUUUUGAAUAUUUACUUGAAAUCAGUCAUGUUAUUUUACACUAUUUCCAUAUUCAGCCAUGUUUUACUCAGUUUUAACACUUAAAAGGAUAUUUUCAAUAAUGUUUGGGCUGAGAAACACUGUUUUAUUAUUGCCCGAACGACUUGUGAGGAUUUAUGACUGAGUAAGGCCAAGGGCCUAUAUUGUGAGAAAACACUGAUAUUGAUUUGGGCCGAGGGCCUAAGAUAUGUACACCACGAGGUGGCUUGAUAUUGAUAUGAGGCCGAGAGCCUAUUUAUGAUGCCACGAGAUGGCUUGUUAUUGCGCUUGGGCCAUAAGGGCCCCCUCCCAGAGUUUGUACACCCCCAGUGAGCGUGGGUACCCAUUGUGAUGUGAGAUUGAGCCCGAGGGGCUUGUAUUGUUCUGAGAUGUUGCCCGAGGGACAGUUUUAUUGAUACAGUGCCUGAGGGGCGAACCUUUACUUGUUUAUUUCUCCUUAACUGCCUGUCAAUUAAAUGCUUACUUGCUGAAAAAGGAUUUUUACUUAUCUUUUGACUGAUUUACUAUUUUUAAAUGAUGUUUUACUGUUUCAUUAAAAAAAAUUGUUGUGUGCCUAACGUGUUUUCUUACUUUCAGUCAUUAUUUACAUUUGUUACUCACUGAAUCGGAGUACUCACAUUACUCCCUGCACCCUAUGUGCAGAUUCAGGCGUAGCUGGUCCCGCUCCCGAGUGUUGAUCAUCUCCAGCUUCAGGCGGACAUUCGGAGUUCACGAGGUAGCUGCCUGGCAUCGUCAGCCCCGUGUCUCUACUCUUUAUCAUUUCUAUUUCCUUUCAGACAUUUGUACUGGUUUAUGGAUUUAGUCUACCUGUAUUUUUACUUAUAGAUGCUCAUGACUAGUGACACCCCGGUUAGGAUUGUGUAUGGAUGUUCUUCCGCAUAUUUAUGAUAUUAACUGCUAUUUCGGAUUUAUUUUAUCGCGUUUAGACUGUUUUAUAAAUGCU